CCUACGUGCGGCAGCAGUGAGGAAUAUUGGUCAAUGGGCGGAAGCCUGAACCAGCCAAGUAGCGUGCAGGAUGACGGCCCUAAGGGUUGUAAACUGCUUUUAUACGGGAAUAAAGCGCCUUACGUGUAGGGCUUUUCAUGUACCGUAUGAAUAAGGACCGGCUAAAUCCGUGCCAGCAGCCGCGGUAUUACGGAUGGUCCGGUGUUUAUCCGGAUUUAUUGGGUUUAAAGGGUGCGCAGGUGGCUUGUUAAGCCAGCGGUAAAAGCCCGGGGCUCAACCCCGGCGAGCCGUUGAAACUGGCGGGCUGGAGUUGGAGAGAAGUACGCGGAAUGCGCGGUGUAGCGGUGAAAUGCUUAGAUAUCGCGCAGAACCCCGAUUGCGAAGGCAGCGUACCGGCUCCACACUGACGCUGAGGCACGAAAGCGUGGGUAUCGAACAGGAUUAGAUACCCGAGUAGUC
RNAcentral lists this ribosomal RNA (459 nucleotides) under uncultured bacterium. RNAcentral's name for it is "partial 16S ribosomal RNA". It matches the Rfam family "Bacterial small subunit ribosomal RNA", at positions 338 to 795 of the family's 1533-position model. The record is from RNAcentral.